CGUAGGGGGCAAGCGUUGUCCGGAUUUAUUGGGCGUAAAGAGCGUGUAGGCGGCCAGGUAGGUCGGUUGUGAAAACUCGAGGCUCAACCUCGAGAUGUCGACCGAAACCAUCUGGCUAGAGUCCGGAAGAGGAGAAUGGAAUUCCCGGUGUAGCGGUGAAAUGCGCAGAUAUCGGGAAGAACACCCGUGGCGAAGGCGGUUCUCUGGGAUGGUACUGACGCUGAGACGCGAAAGCGUGGGGAGCGAACAGGAUUAGAUACCCUGGUAGUCCACGCCGUAAACGAUGGGAACUAGGUGUGGGCGGUGUCGACUCCGUCCGUGCCGAAGCUAACGCAUUAAGUUCCCCGCCUGGGGAGUACGGCCGCAAGGCUA
RNAcentral lists this ribosomal RNA (372 nucleotides) under uncultured organism. RNAcentral's name for it is "bacterial SSU rRNA". It matches the Rfam family "Bacterial small subunit ribosomal RNA", at positions 526 to 896 of the family's 1533-position model. The record is from RNAcentral.